CGCCCCUUCGGGGGAGUGGCGGACGGGUGAGUAACGCGUGGGAAUGUGCCCUUUGGUACGGAACAACUGAGGGAAACUUCAGCUAAUACCGUAUGUGCCCUACGGGGGAAAGAUUUAUCGCCAUUGGAGCAGCCCGCGUUGGAUUAGGUAGUUGGUGGGGUAAAGGCCUACCAAGCCUACGAUCCAUAGCUGGUCUGAGAGGAUGAUCAGCCACACUGGGACUGAGACACGGCCCAGACUCCUACGGGAGGCAGCAGUGGGGAAUCUUGCGCAAUGGGCGAAAGCCUGACACAGCCAUGCCGCGUGUAUGAUGAAGGUCUUAGGAUUGUAAAAUACUUUCACCGGGGAAGAUAAUGACGGUACCCGGAGAAGAAGCCCCGGCUAACUUCGUGCCAGCAGCCGCGGUAAUACGAAGGGGGCUAGCGUUGCUCGGAAUUACUGGGCGUAAAGGGCGCGUAGGCGGACAGUUUAGUCAGAGGUGAAAGCCCAGGGCUCAACCUUGGAAUUGCCUUUGAUACUGGCUGUCUUGAGUUCGGGAGAGGUGAGUGGAAUGCCGAGUGUAGAGGUGAAAUU
This 573-nucleotide ribosomal RNA is filed under the name Phenylobacterium sp. 8AF. Its description in RNAcentral is "bacterial SSU rRNA". It matches the Rfam family "Bacterial small subunit ribosomal RNA", at positions 67 to 688 of the family's 1533-position model. The record is from RNAcentral. Lineage: Bacteria; Pseudomonadati; Pseudomonadota; Alphaproteobacteria; Caulobacterales; Caulobacteraceae.